RNAcentral lists this microRNA (22 nucleotides) under Euprymna scolopes. Its description in RNAcentral is "Esc-Mir-12529_3p (mature (guide))". The record is from RNAcentral. Lineage: Eukaryota; Metazoa; Mollusca; Cephalopoda; Sepiida; Sepiolidae.
UUGUUGACGUAACACCAUUGCC